UUUCCGUAGGUGAACCUGCGGAAGGAUCAUUACUGAGUGAGGCCCCCUCGGGGUCCAACCUCCCACCCGUGUUUAACGAACCUUGUUGCUUCGGCGGGCCCGCCUCACGGCCGCCGGGGGGCAUCUGCCCCCGGGCCCGCGCCCGCCGAAGCCACCUGUGAACGCUGUCUGAAGUAUGCAGUCUGAGACAAUUAUUAAAUUAAUUAAAACUUUCAACAACGGAUCUCUUGGUUCCG
RNAcentral lists this unclassified non-coding RNA (236 nucleotides) under plant metagenome. RNAcentral's name for it is "partial contains small subunit ribosomal RNA, internal transcribed spacer 1, and 5.8S ribosomal RNA". The record is from RNAcentral.